Molecule: ribosomal RNA, 470 nt
Filed under: uncultured bacterium
Lineage: Bacteria
Description: bacterial SSU rRNA
Rfam family: Bacterial small subunit ribosomal RNA
Source: RNAcentral
UUGAACGCUGGCGGCAGGCCUAACACAUGCAAGUCGAGCGGGGUUUUCGGACCUAGCGGCGGACGGGUGAGUAAUGCGUAGGAAGCUGCCCGAUAGAGGGGGAUACCAGUUGGAAACGACUGUUAAUACCGCAUAAUGUCUACGGACCAAAGUGUGGGACCUUCGGGCCACAUGCUAUCGGAUGCGCCUACGUGGGAUUAGCUAGUUGGUGAGGUAAUGGCUCACCAAGGCGACGAUCUCUAGCUGGUUUGAGAGGAUGAUCAGCCACACUGGAACUGAGACACGGUCCAGACUCCUACGGGAGGCAGCAGUGGGGAAUAUUGGACAAUGGGCGCAAGCCUGAUCCAGCCAUGCCGCGUGUGUGAAGAAGGCCUUCGGGUUGUAAAGCACUUUCAGCGAGGAGGAAGGGAUUGUAGUUAAUAGCUGCAAUUUUUGACGUUACUCGCAGAAGAAGCACCGGCUAACUCUGU